GGCUUUAUAGUCAAUUUAUGAUAUUAGACUGCAAUUCUAAAGUAGAUUUUAAAAUCUAAAGCUU
RNAcentral lists this transfer RNA (64 nucleotides) under Rubiconia intermedia. RNAcentral's name for it is "tRNA-Cys". The record is from RNAcentral. Lineage: Eukaryota; Metazoa; Arthropoda; Insecta; Hemiptera; Pentatomidae.